AUCCGAUCGGCUUGCACUGUCU
RNAcentral lists this microRNA (22 nucleotides) under Ornithorhynchus anatinus (platypus). Its description in RNAcentral is "oan-miR-1420c-5p". Lineage: Eukaryota; Metazoa; Chordata; Mammalia; Monotremata; Ornithorhynchidae. The record is from miRBase by way of RNAcentral.